This 69-nucleotide transfer RNA is filed under the name Dallia pectoralis (Alaska blackfish). RNAcentral describes it as "tRNA-OTHER". The stretch from base 5 to 63 matches the Rfam family "tRNA", at positions 7 to 64 of the family's 71-position model. Rfam says of the family: Transfer RNA (tRNA) molecules are approximately 80 nucleotides in length. Their secondary structure includes four short double-helical elements and three loops (D, anti-codon, and T loops). Further hydrogen bonds mediate the characteristic L-shaped molecular structure. tRNAs have two regions of fundamental functional importance: the anti-codon, which is responsible for specific mRNA codon recognition, and the 3' end, to which the tRNAs corresponding amino acid is attached (by aminoacyl-tRNA synthetases). tRNAs cope with the degeneracy of the genetic code in two manners: having more than one tRNA (with a specific anti-codon) for a particular amino acid; and 'wobble' base-pairing, i.e. permitting non-standard base-pairing at the 3rd anti-codon position. Lineage: Eukaryota; Metazoa; Chordata; Actinopteri; Esociformes; Umbridae. The record is from RNAcentral.
GAGUGUAGCUCAGUGGUAGAGUGCAUGCUUUGUAUGUAUGAUGCCCUGAGUUCAAUCUCCAGCUUCUCC